AAUGAUGUCCUUCACUGGUGACUUCCAAGUGUUUUCUAGGAAUUUGCAAAAAGAAAACUGAUUUGUUUUUCAAAAUUAAUCUAAAGAACAACAUUCCAAUACCUAAACAGAUUUUUCAAAGCUUAGUGUUUUUUUUCUGAAAAAAAUUAUUUUGCCCUUUCGAAUCUUGGAAUCACAAAGACAAUCCCCUAAGGACUCUCGGAAUCCUCAACCGGCAACACUCCUUUCGUGGUGUUCUUCAGAACUCUUCAAAACUGAGUUUUUCUGAUAUGCU
RNAcentral lists this long non-coding RNA (274 nucleotides) under Brassica napus (rape). RNAcentral's name for it is "long non-coding RNA (BNAP_LNC021378)". Lineage: Eukaryota; Viridiplantae; Streptophyta; Magnoliopsida; Brassicales; Brassicaceae. The record is from RNAcentral.